RNAcentral lists this ribosomal RNA (347 nucleotides) under uncultured bacterium. RNAcentral describes it as "partial 16S ribosomal RNA". It matches the Rfam family "Bacterial small subunit ribosomal RNA", at positions 338 to 696 of the family's 1533-position model. The record is from RNAcentral.
CCUACGGGAGGCAGCAGUCGAGAAUCAUUCACAAUGGGGGAAACCCUGAUGGUGCGACGCCGCGUGGGGGAAUGAAGGUCUUCGGAUUGUAAACUCUUGUCAUGUGGGAGCAAAUUAAAAAGAUAGUACCACAAGAGGAAGAGACGGCUAACUCUGUGGCAGCAGCCGCGGUAAUACAGAGGUCUCAAGCGUUGUUCGGAAUCACUGGGCGAAAAGCGUGCGUAGACUGUUUCGUAAGUCGUGUGUGAAAGGCGCGGGCUCAACCCGCGGACUGCACAUGAUACUGCGAGACUAGAGUACAGGAGGGGGAACCGGAAUUCUCGGUGUAGCGGUGAAAUGCGUAGAUA